GACGAACGCUGGCGGCGUGCCUAAUACAUGCAAGUAGAACGCUGAAGGAGGAGCUUGCUUCUCUGGAUGAGUUGCGAACGGGUGAGUAACGCGUAGGUAACCUGCCUGGUAGCGGGGGAUAACUAUUGGAAACGAUAGCUAAUACCGCAUAAUAGCAGUUAUUGCAUGAUAACUGUUUGAAAGGUGCAAUUGCACCACUACCAGAUGGACCUGCGUUGUAUUAGCUAGUUGGUGGGGUAACGGCUCACCAAGGCGACGAUACAUAGCCGACCUGAGAGGGUGAUCGGCCACACUGGGACUGAGACACGGCCCAGACUCCUACGGGAGGCAGCAGUAGGGAAUCUUCGGCAAUGGACAGAAGUCUGACCGAGCAACGCCGCGUGAGUGAAGAAGGUUUUCGGAUCGUAAAGCUCUGUUGUAAGAGAAGAACGAGUGUGAGAGUGGAAAGUUCACACUGUGACGGUAUCUUACCAGAAAGGGACGGCUAACUACGUG
This 495-nucleotide ribosomal RNA is filed under the name uncultured bacterium. RNAcentral's name for it is "partial 16S ribosomal RNA". It matches the Rfam family "Bacterial small subunit ribosomal RNA", at positions 28 to 507 of the family's 1533-position model. The record is from RNAcentral.